GACGAACGCUGGCGGCGUGCUUAACACAUGCAAGUCGAACGGUGAACCUCUUCGUAGGUUCUCAGUGUCGGACGGGUGAGUGACACGUGGGCAACCUGCCCCCGCCUCUUGGAGAACGCCAAGAAAUUGGGGCUAAUACCGGUACUUCACCGCUUCCCGCAUGGGAGGUGGUUUGAAUGGUUGCUGGCUUUGGAUGGGUCCGCGGCCGAUCAGCGUGUUGGUUGGGUAGCGGUCUAGAAAGGCGACGACGGGGAGCCGGCCUGAGAGGGUGACAGGCCCCACAGGGACUGAGACACGGGCCAGAGGCCUACGGGAGGAAGCAGUGGGAAAUAUUGCGCAAUGGGCGGCAGCAUGAAGCAGCGUCGCCGCGUCGGGGAUGACGGUUUUCGGGUUGUAACCAUCUUUAAGCAGGAAAGAAGAGACAGUGACGGUACCUUAAGAAGAAGCACCGGCUAACUACGUG
Molecule: ribosomal RNA, 463 nt
Filed under: uncultured bacterium
Lineage: Bacteria
Description: partial 16S ribosomal RNA
Rfam family: Bacterial small subunit ribosomal RNA
Source: RNAcentral